Cynara cardunculus var. scolymus (artichoke) is the source of this 122-nucleotide long non-coding RNA. RefSeq lists it as uncharacterized. The transcript is spliced from 3 exons. Lineage: Eukaryota; Viridiplantae; Streptophyta; Magnoliopsida; Asterales; Asteraceae. The record is from RefSeq and is a predicted model, not a curated record.
AUUGCAUCCUAUCCAUCCUCAGCAGCCUGUAUGGGACAAUGAUCUUCACAGUCUUCUCCAAAUGGGAUUUGAUGCUAAUCUUGGACAGAAUGGAGGAGGAGCAAAGAUGGAUGUUUAGAGAU